AACACUGUUAACCUGCGGUACCUGCGGAGGGAUCAUUACAGAGUUGCAAAACUCCCUAAACCAUUGUGAGCGUUACCUAAACCGUUGCUUCGGCGGGCGGCCCGGGUCCUUCCCGGCGCCCCUCGGCCCUCGCGGGCGCCCGCCGGAGGUAAACCAAACUAUUGCAUUGUAUGGCCUCUCUGAGUCUUCUGUACUGAAUAAGUCAAAACUUUUAACAACGGAUCUCAGAUCGGAAGAGCA
This 240-nucleotide unclassified non-coding RNA is filed under the name soil metagenome. RNAcentral's name for it is "partial contains 5.8S ribosomal RNA, internal transcribed spacer 2, and large subunit ribosomal RNA". The record is from RNAcentral.